This 637-nucleotide ribosomal RNA is filed under the name uncultured bacterium. RNAcentral's name for it is "bacterial SSU rRNA". It matches the Rfam family "Bacterial small subunit ribosomal RNA", at positions 607 to 1244 of the family's 1533-position model. The record is from RNAcentral.
GCUCAACCGGGGAGGGUCAUUGGAAACUGGGGAACUUGAGUGCAGAAGAGGAGAGUGGAAUUCCACGUGUAGCGGUGAAAUGCGUAGAGAUGUGGAGGAACACCAGUGGCGAAGGCGACUCUCUGGUCUGUAACUGACGCUGAGGCGCGAAAGCGUGGGGAGCGAACAGGAUUAGAUACCCUGGUAGUCCACGCCGUAAACGAUGAGUGCUAAGUGUUAGAGGGUUUCCGCCCUUUAGUGCUGCAGCAAACGCAUUAAGCACUCCGCCUGGGGAGUACGGUCGCAAGACUGAAACUCAAAGGAAUUGACGGGGGCCCGCACAAGCGGUGGAGCAUGUGGUUUAAUUCGAAGCAACGCGAAGAACCUUACCAGGUCUUGACAUCCUCUGACAACCCUAGAGAUAGGGCUUCCCCUUCGGGGGCAGAGUGACAGGUGGUGCAUGGUUGUCGUCAGCUCGUGUCGUGAGAUGUUGGGUUAAGUCCCGCAACGAGCGCAACCCUUGAUCUUAGUUGCCAGCAUUCAGUUGGGCACUCUAAGGUGACUGCCGGUGACAAACCGGAGGAAGGUGGGGUUGACGUCAAAUCAUCAUGCCCCUUAUGACCUGGGCUACACACGUGCUACAAUGGACAGAACAAAG